Long non-coding RNA from Eptesicus fuscus (big brown bat), 3062 nucleotides. RefSeq lists it as uncharacterized. The record is from RefSeq and is a predicted model, not a curated record. The transcript has 2 exons. Lineage: Eukaryota; Metazoa; Chordata; Mammalia; Chiroptera; Vespertilionidae.
GGCCCGCCUCCCGCCUGCGGGGCUGGGGAGCUCGCCCAGAACCCCGCCGGCCUCGCUUCCCCGCCUUCGGCCUGAGGUACUCCGCCUGCGGCUUUCGGCCACGCCCUCCAUGGCGGCUGGGGCUCUACGGCCCUGGGACGGGAGGUGCCCGCAGUGCCAGGCCACCUCUCCCAGCAGCUCUCGCCGUUGCUUCCGGAACACGGGACCCAUCAGAAAGGGAAAAUUGUUUGAGCUAACAAACAAAAACGAGGUGACAGAGAUUGGCGUGGGUAGCUGGAGGCUGAAAAAGCGAGCCUUGAACCACAUGCACCUGCUCGGGGAAUGGCUGUGCGCAGUAGGGUCAAUAGGGUCGGAAUUCCGAUGACAGCGAUGAAGGCGUCUUGUUAACGAGGAGACUUUUGGAGCGCACCGAGCAUGGGGGCUGGUUGCCCAGGAUGCCAGGGGCUGGAGGCUGAAGCAAUCACCAGUGGCCAGUGACUCUAUCAAUCAUGCCUGUCAUGAAGCCUCCAUAAAACCCCAAAAGGACAGGGUUUGGAGAGCUUCCAAGUCGGUGAACACGUGGAGAUCCGGAAGAGUGGCGCGCUUGGAGAGAACAGGGAAGCGCCGCAUCCUUUCCCAAUGCGUCCGGCUCCUCUGGCUGUUCCUCAUUUAUAUCCUUUUAUAAUAAACCGGUGACUUAGUAAAUGUUUCUCCUGAGUUCUGUGAGCCACUCUGGCAAAUUACUCAAACCCAGGAAGGGAAGGAGUCCCGGGACCUGGGCCUGCAGCUGGCACGUGGAGGGGGCUCUUGUGAGACUGAGACCUGUGGAAGCGGACGCUGCCUCCAGGAACAGGGUCAGAGUGGAGUUGACCUGCAGGACACCCAGCUGGUGUCACAGCACUUCUUGAUGGUGUGCAGGACCACCUCCCCCCCUGAUAUUGGAAUUGGGUGAUCAGAAACUUGAAUGAUCAACUCACCUAUAAUCAGACCUUCCACAAAAUAGUGUAUAGCCCAAUGUUUAAGAAUGCAAGCUCAGAUACCUGGAGAUACUUCACACUUAUGAGCUGUGUAACCUUAAUUAAGCAAGUUGUUUACCUUGUGUCUUCUCCUAUCUGAGGAUGGACAGGCUUCAUCUCAUAGGAUAAAAUGAAAUAUAAUACAUGUGUACAUAAGUACUAACACAGUUACUAAUUAAGAGAAACUUCAGGAUACAAUCAUAGCAAUCCAGUAAUAUAUAUUUUUUUAAUUUUAAGAGGUAAUGUAAGAUACUUUCCUUUUAUUUAAUCUAAGGUAUCUUGACAUGUAAAUUUCUACAUUAAUCAAAUGAUGUUUAAAGAAUUAAUCUGUAUGUUCAUGCCUACUUACUUAAGUUAAACAUUGAAAAUAUUUUCAAUUACUGCUCAGGCCGUUUUUGAAAGCACUUUAACCAGUCCUUUAUCAGGAAGAAGAACCUAAUUCAGGACAAGGUGGUUAACAGAAGCACUUUUAAAUAGGUUAUAAAUUGUAGCCAUUUGGCUCUUGGGAGUUUGCAAACAGGGGCAUUUAUAUUUGGGGUAAAAAAUAGAAAAAAGAAAAAAAAAGUAAUGCUCUUUGGGCAGUGUUUCAUAGUCACCUGGAAUGCUGUUUAAGAAUCAAGAUUUCUGACUUCCACUUAAUAUUUACUGAACAAGAACGUGACUGAGAUCUGCAUUAACAAGUUCCACAAGAGAAUCUUAGGCCUAUAGUCACUCGAGAACAACUGCCUCAAGGGAAGACCUCUGUUUGAGUUUAGACCUAAAAACUGCUGACAACCUUUAAACACACAAAAUAUCUUUAGGAGAGAAAUGUUCAGGGGCAAAUACUAAGCAGUGAAAUCAUACUCUUAAGCCCUCUCAAGUCUGUCCCAGUAAGCCCUGGAGUCUUGAUAUUCAGAUGACUUAGGGAGGAAAAUUAAAAGUAGCAACAAUCUGAAAAUCCUCAGUAAAGUUCAUUCUUGGUCUUCUCUUCCUAAAUUUGUUUUCAAUUCUAUUAGAUUUAAUCACUAAGCAAGACCAAAAGAGAACUUUAUUUUACAUGACUUUAUUUUACAUUUAAAAUCAUUUUAUGCUUUACUUAAAAAAAAAAAACUCACUGUUUUUAAUAUUCCUAAAAGCAUUUUAACCAAAAUCUUGAUUUAGGAAGACUUAAGACAUUUUGCAUUAUUUUAAAUAUUUCAUUUUCUCAGUAAUUAUUAAAAUAAGUUCACAAUUGGGGUUUCAAAUGUCCUACUCAUAUCUGUUUUGUUCUCAUUUCAUACUUUAUCAAUCCCAUAAUGUGCAUACAGAAGUGAAGGUGAUAUAAAUGUUAGCUAUUUCAGACAUAUCAAUAAUCAGCUCUUAAUCUAACUACUAUUUCAUUCACUCAGAAAUAGCAUUUAGACAUAAAAACCAAUGUUACUUUAUAAAAUAACCUUUGGUUAAUUUACACAAAUCUAACAGCAUGUUGCGUAAGUUUUGAGUAAUAACGAGUUUCACUAUCAUUUUAGUUUUUAAUAUAUGUCAGCAAGGCUGAGAACAUCAUGUAGUUCAUUCUUCUGAAGGAAGUUAUAUAAUAAAAGUGUAGUGCCUUUGAACAUGAAAAACAUCCUGAAGGCCAGUCCUAUGAAGGAACUGAAAGGUAGGAGAGAUUCCAGAGACUCUCUGCUCAUUUUCAGUAUGUAGAGUGACUAGUUUAAGUCACUUUAUUUGAAGAUUUUGUGAAGAAAACCGUUGUCCAUAUUGUGCCAUUGAAUGAAGCUACCACAAGAAUUUAGAUAUUGGUCCGAGGCUACAUAAUGGGUCAUCAAAAUAGAACCUGUCACAUAAGUGAGUUAAUUCCCUUGCCAAGUAAGGGUCCCAACUUCACUUCCCCCAUUUAUAAAAAGAAAAGGUGGCCUGGCCAGCGCCAUUCAGGAUUCUCUGCUAACUGUAAAAUGUGGAUUGAUUUUCUUGUUUCUUAUAGUCCAUGUGUAUAUAAACUUUCAGUUCUUCAAAUCAAAAAUUUUUGCACAUAACCAUGCCGGUGUAUUACCCUUAGUUUAAAAAUGUACAACUAGAUAAAUAAAAACUAUUGUUUCUUCAAUAUUA